Molecule: ribosomal RNA, 483 nt
Filed under: uncultured bacterium
Lineage: Bacteria
Description: bacterial SSU rRNA
Rfam family: Bacterial small subunit ribosomal RNA
Source: RNAcentral
AUUGAACGCUGGCGGCAUGCUUUACACAUGCAAGUCGAACGGUAACAGCACUUCGGUGGCUGACGAGUGGCGAACGGGUGAGUAAUGUAUCGGAACGUGCCCAGUAGUGGGGGAUAACUACUCGAAAGAGUGGCUAAUACCGCAUGAGAUCUCUGGAUGAAAGCGGGGGACCGUAAGGCCUCGCGCUACUGGAGCGGCCGAUAUCAGAUUAGGUUGUUGGUGGGGUAAAGGCCUACCAAGCCUGCGAUCUGUAGCUGGUCUGAGAGGACGACCAGCCACACUGGGACUGAGACACGGCCCAGACUCCUACGGGAGGCAGCAGUGGGGAAUUUUGGACAAUGGACGCAAGUCUGAUCCAGCAAUGCCGCGUGCAGGACGAAGGCCUUCGGGUUGUAAACUGCUUUUGUACGGAACGAAAAGCCUUCUUCUAAUACAGGAGGGUCAUGACGGUACCGUAAGAAUAAGCAACCGGCUAACUACGUG